This is a non-coding RNA of Pelobates cultripes (western spadefoot toad), 204 nucleotides long. The record is from the annotation of a GenBank genome assembly. Lineage: Eukaryota; Metazoa; Chordata; Amphibia; Anura; Pelobatidae.
CUGCAGUAACUGUCAAUGCGACCGCAAGCUUCAUAUCUGCCAAUGGGUGCUCAUAAUGACACAGGACCAUCACAUAAACUGCUGGAGGAUUACUCUUGUGACUAAAAUCAGUUUAUGGCAAAAAACAUUUAUUCUUCAUUUUGAUAAGCUUUUAACAAACGAAAAUGUGCUUUCUUCGAUUUUUGCCAAGACAAGGCCAUGUUU